AUUGAACGCUGGCGGCAGGCUUAACACAUGCAAGUCGAGCGGGGUGAUGGUGCUUGCACUAUCACUUAGCGGCGGACGGGUGAGUAAUGCUUAGGAAUCUGCCUAUUAGUGGGGGACAACAUCUCGAAAGGGAUGCUAAUACCGCAUACGUCCUACGGGAGAAAGCAGGGGAUCACUUGUGACCUUGCGCUAAUAGAUGAGCCUAAGUCGGAUUAGCUAGUUGGUGGGGUAAAGGCCUACCAAGGCGACGAUCUGUAGCGGGUCUGAGAGGAUGAUACGCCACACUGGGACUGAGGCACGGCCCAGAAUCCUACGGGAGGCAGCAGUGGGGAAUAUUGGACAAUGGGGGGAACCCUGAUCCAGCCAUGCCGCGUGUGUGAAGAAGGCCUUAUGGUUGUAAAGCACUUUAAGCGAGGAGGAGGCUCUUUUGGUUAAUACCCAAGAUGAGUGGACGUUACUCGCAGAAUAAGCACCGGCUAACUCUGUGCCAGCAGCCGCGGUAA
This 503-nucleotide ribosomal RNA is filed under the name uncultured bacterium. RNAcentral describes it as "partial 16S ribosomal RNA". It matches the Rfam family "Bacterial small subunit ribosomal RNA", at positions 30 to 523 of the family's 1533-position model. The record is from RNAcentral.